AAUAUUGCACAAUGGGCGCAAGCCUGAUGCAGCCAUGCCGCGUGUAUGAAGAAGGCCUUCGGGUUGUAAAGUACUUUCAGCAGUGAGGAAGGUGGGUAUGUUAAUAGCAUAUUCAUUUGACGUUAGCUGCAGAAGAAGCACCGGCUAACUCCGUGCCAGCAGCCGCGGUAAUACGGAGGGUGCGAGCGUUAAUCGGAAUUACUGGGCGUAAAGCGCAUGCAGGUGGUUUGUUAAGUCAGAUGUGAAAGCCCGGGGCUCAACCUCGGAAUUGCAUUUGAAACUGGCAAACUAGAGUAUUGUAGAGGGGGGUAGAAUUUCAGGUGUAGCGGUGAAAUGCGUAGAGAUCUGAAGGAAUACCGGUGGCGAAGGCGGCCCCCUGGACAGAUACUGACACUCAGAUGCGAAAGCGUCGGGGAGCAAACAGGAUUAGAUACCCUGGUAG
This 442-nucleotide ribosomal RNA is filed under the name uncultured bacterium. Its description in RNAcentral is "bacterial SSU rRNA". It matches the Rfam family "Bacterial small subunit ribosomal RNA", at positions 360 to 793 of the family's 1533-position model. The record is from RNAcentral.